GAUGAACGCUAGCGAUAGGCUUAACACAUGCAAGUCGAGGGGUAACGUGUUGGAAGCUUGCUUCCGAUGACGACGACCGGCGGAUGGGUGCGUAACGCGUAUGCAACUUGCCUCACAGUGGAGAAUAACCCGGAGAAAUCCGGACUAAUACUCCAUACACUCUUAAGUACGCCUGUACAUGAGAGGAAAGAUUUAUCGCUGUGAGAUAGGCAUGCGUCCUAUUAGGUAGUUGGUGAGGUAACGGCUCACCAAGCCGACGAUAGGUAGGGGUGCUGAGAGGCAGAUCCCCCACAUUGGGACUGAGACACGGCCCAAACUCCUACGGGAGGCAGCAGUGAGGAAUAUGGGUCAAUGGAGGAAACUCUGAACCAGCCAAGUCGCGUGAAGGAAGAAUGUCCUAAGGAUUGUAAACUUCUUUAGCGAGCGAGUAAGGACUUCCACGUGAUGGGAGUUUGAAAGUAGCUCGAGAAUAAGUAGCGGCUAACUCCGUG
This 491-nucleotide ribosomal RNA is filed under the name uncultured bacterium. Its description in RNAcentral is "partial 16S ribosomal RNA". It matches the Rfam family "Bacterial small subunit ribosomal RNA", at positions 28 to 507 of the family's 1533-position model. The record is from RNAcentral.